UGGUAAGUCGAGCGUGACAGCACCCGGCUCAACCGGGAGAGGACGUGCGAAUCGCGAGGCUAGAGACAGGUAGAGGCGUACGGAAUUCCGGGAGUAGUGAUGCAAUGCGUAGAUAUCCGGAGGAACACCAGUGGCGAAGACGGUACACUGGGCCUGGUCAGACGGUAAGACGCGAAAGCAUGGGGACCGAACGGGACUAGAAACCCCGCUAGUCCAUGCACGUAAACGAUGCUAAGUAGCUGUUGCGGGUAAAAGACCGGCAGUGCCGGAGUUAACGCGAUAAGUUAGCCACCAUGGGGACUAAGCUCGCAAGCAUUAAACUCAAAGGAAUUGACGGGCGCCCGCACAAGCAACGGAGCGUGUGGGACAACUCGAGGGUACACGAAGAACCGGACCUGGGAUGGACAAGACGGUGGUAGGGAACCGAAAGGGGACCGACCUUCGGGAGCCGUCACAGGUACUGCAUGGAUGUCGUCAGCUCGUGUCGUGAGAUGUUCGGUUAAGUCCGGUAACGAGCGCAACCCUCAUCGCUAGUCUACAAGUGUCUAGCGAGACUGCCCGUUCAACGUCGGGAGGAAGCCGGGGAUGACGUCAAGUCAGCAUGGCCGGUAAUGUCCAGGGCUACACACACGCUACAAUGGCCGGUACAAUGGGUCGGCCAACCCGCGAGGGGGAGCCAAUCCACCAAAGCCGGUCACAGUUAGAAUAGCAGACUGCAACCCGCCUGCAGGCAAUCGGAGUUGUUAGUAACCGCAGGUCAG
RNAcentral lists this ribosomal RNA (761 nucleotides) under uncultured organism. Its description in RNAcentral is "bacterial SSU rRNA". It matches the Rfam family "Bacterial small subunit ribosomal RNA", at positions 581 to 1352 of the family's 1533-position model. The record is from RNAcentral.